Molecule: ribosomal RNA, 440 nt
Filed under: uncultured bacterium
Lineage: Bacteria
Description: partial 16S ribosomal RNA
Rfam family: Bacterial small subunit ribosomal RNA
Source: RNAcentral
CCUACGGGAGGCAGCAGUGGGGAAUAUUGCACAAUGGGGGAAACCCUGAUGCAGCGACGCCGCGUGAGUGAAGACGUAUUUCGGUACGUAAAGCUCUAUCAGCAGGGAAGAAAAUGACGGUACCUGACUAAGAAGCCCCGGCUAACUACGGGCCAGCAGCCGCGGUAAUACGGAGGGGGCAAGCGUUAUCCGGAUUUACUGGGUGUAAAGGGAGCGUAGACGGCAGCGCAAGUCUGGAGUGAAAUCCCAUGGCUUAACCAUGGAACUGCUUUGGAAACUGUGCAGCUAGAGUGCAGGAGAGGUAAGCGGAAUUCCUAGUGUAGCGGUGAAAUGCGUAGAUAUUAGGAGGAACACCAGUGGCGCAGGCGGCUUACUGGACUGUAACUGACGUUGAGGCUCGAAAGCGUGGGGAGCAAACAGGAUUAGAUACCCUUGUAGUC